Molecule: signal recognition particle RNA, 282 nt
Filed under: Colius striatus (speckled mousebird)
Lineage: Eukaryota; Metazoa; Chordata; Aves; Coliiformes; Coliidae
Description: Metazoan signal recognition particle RNA
Rfam family: Metazoan signal recognition particle RNA
About the family: The signal recognition particle (SRP) is a universally conserved ribonucleoprotein.
Source: Rfam by way of RNAcentral
GCCAGACACAGUGGCUUGUGCCUGUAAUCCAAGUGCCAGGGUGGCUGAGGCUGAUUGAUAGCUUGAGCCCCGGGGUUCUGGGCUGCAGUGAGCUGGUCAGAGCAGGUGUCUGUGCUAAGGCCAGCAUCGGUGUGGUGGUCCUGGGGGAGCCAGGGGCUACUAGGUUGCCUAAGGAAGGAUGAACUGGCCCAUAUUGGAGAUGGAGCAGCUUCUGUGCCGCUCAGUAGUGGGAUGGUGUGUGUAAACAGUCCCUGUAGUGCCGCCCGAGACCUGUUUUUAUUU